GAUGAACGCUGGCGGCGUGCCUAAUACAUGCAAGUCGAGCGAACAGACGAGGAGCUUGCUCCUCUGACGUUAGCGGCGGACGGGUGAGUAACACGUGGAUAACCUACCUAUAAGACUGGGAUAACUUCGGGAAACCGGAGCUAAUACCGGAUAAUAUAUUGAACCGCAUGGUUCAAUAGUGAAAGACGGUUUUGCUGUCACUUAUCGAUGGAUCCGCGCCGCAUUAGCUAGUUGGUAAGGUAACGGCUUACCAAGGCAACGAUGCGUAGCCGACCUGAGAGGGUGAUCGGCCACACUGGAACUGAGACACGGUCCAGACUCCUACGGGAGGCAGCAGUAGGGAAUCUUCCGCAAUGGGCGCAAGCCUGACGGAGCACCGCCGCGUGAGUGAUGAAGGUCUUCGGAUCGUAAAACUCUGUUAUGAGGGAAGAACAAAUGUGUAAGUAACUAUGCACGUCUUGACGGUACCUAAUCAGAAAGCCACGGCUAACUACGUG
Molecule: ribosomal RNA, 497 nt
Filed under: uncultured bacterium
Lineage: Bacteria
Description: partial 16S ribosomal RNA
Rfam family: Bacterial small subunit ribosomal RNA
Source: RNAcentral